RNAcentral lists this ribosomal RNA (1343 nucleotides) under uncultured bacterium. RNAcentral describes it as "16S ribosomal RNA". It matches the Rfam family "Bacterial small subunit ribosomal RNA", at positions 28 to 1378 of the family's 1533-position model. The record is from RNAcentral.
GACGAACGCUGGCGGCGUGCUUAACACAUGCAAGUCGAACGGAAAGGCCCUGCUUUUGUGGGGUGCUCGAGUGGCGAACGGGUGAGUAACACGUGAGUAACCUGCCCUUGACUUUGGGAUAACUUCAGGAAACUGGGGCUAAUACCGGAUAGGAGCUCCUGCUGCAUGGUGGGGGUUGAAAAGUUUCGGCGGUUGGGGAUGGACUCGCGGCUUAUCAGCUUGUUGGUGGGGUAGUGGCUUACCAAGGCUUUGACGGGUAGCCGGCCUGAGAGGGUGACCGGCCACAUUGGGACUGAGAUACGGCCCAGACUCCUACGGGAGGCAGCAGUGGGGAAUAUUGCACAAUGGGCGGAAGCCUGAUGCAGCAACGCCGCGUGCGGGAUGACGGCCUUCGGGUUGUAAACCGCUUUCGCCUGUGACGAAGCGUGAGUGACGGUAAUGGGUAAAGAAGCACCGGCUAACUACGUGCCAGCAGCCGCGGUGAUACGUAGGGUGCGAGCGUUGUCCGGAUUUAUUGGGCGUAAAGGGCUCGUAGGUGGUUGAUCGCGUCGGAAGUGUAAUCUUGGGGCUUAACCCUGAGCGUGCUUUCGAUACGGGUUGACUUGAGGAAGGUAGGGGAGAAUGGAAUUCCUGGUGGAGCGGUGGAAUGCGCAGAUAUCAGGAGGAACACCAGUGGCGAAGGCGGUUCUCUGGGCCUUUCCUGACGCUGAGGAGCGAAAGCGUGGGGAGCGAACAGGCUUAGAUACCCUGGUAGUCCACGCUGUAAACGGUGGGUACUAGGUGUGGGGUCCAUUCCACGGGUUCCGUGCCGUAGCUAACGCUUUAAGUACCCCGCCUGGGGAGUACGGCCGCAAGGCUAAAACUCAAAGGAAUUGACGGGGCCCCGCACAAGCGGCGGAGCAUGCGGAUUAAUUCGAUGCAACGCGUAGAACCUUACCUGGGUUUGACAUGGAUCGGGAGUGCUCAGAGAUGGGUGUGCCUCUUUUGGGGUCGGUUCACAGGUGGUGCAUGCCUGUCGUCAGCUCGUGUCGUGAGAUGUUGGGUUAAGUCCCGCAACGAGCGCAACCCUUGUUCACUGUUGCCAGCACGUUAUGGUGGGGACUCAGUGGAGACCGCCGGGGUCAACUCGGAGGAAGGUGGGGAUGACGUCAAGUCCUCAUGCCCCUUAUGUCCAGGGCUUCACGCAUGCUACAAUGGCUGGUACAGAGAGUGGCGAGCCUGUGAGGGUGAGCGAAUCUCGGAAAGCCGGUCUCAGUUCGGAUUGGGGUCUGCAACUCGACCUCAUGAAGUCGGAGUCGCUAGUAAUCGCAGAUCAGCAACGCUGCGGUGAAAACGUUCCCGGG